GCCCUUAGAGUUUGAUCCUGGCUCAGGAUGAACGCUGGCGGCGUGCCUAACACAUGCAAGUCGAGCGAAGCGAUUUGACGGAAGUUUUCGGAUGGAAGACAAAUUGACUGAGCGGCGGACGGGUGAGUAACGCGUGGGUAACCUGCCUCAUACAGGGGGAUAACAGUUAGAAAUGACUGCUAAUACCGCAUAAGCGCACAGCAUCGCAUGGUGCAGUGUGAAAAACUCCGGUGGUAUGAGAUGGACCCGCGUCUGAUUAGCUGGUUGGUGGGGUAACGGCUCACCAAGGCGACGAUCAGUAGCCGACCUGAGAGGGUGAUCGGCCACAUUGGGACUGAGACACGGCCCAAACUCCUACGGGAGGCAGCAGUGGGGAAUAUUGCACAAUGGGGGAAACCCUGAUGCAGCAACGCCGCGUGAGUGAAGAAGUAUUUCGGUAUGUAAAGCUCUAUCAGCAGGGAAGAAAAUGACGGUACCUGACUAAGAAGCCCCGGCUAACUACGUGCCAGCAGCCGCGGUAAUACGUAGGGGGCAAGCGCUAUCCGGAUUUACUGGGUGUAAAGGGAGCGUAGACGGCGCUGCAAGUCUGAAGUGAAAGCCCGGGGCUCAACCCCGGGACUGCUUUGGAAACUGUAAUGCUAGAGUGCUGGAGAGGUAAGUGGAAUUCCUAGUGUAGCGGUGAAAUGCGUAGAUAUUAGGAGGAACACCAGUGGCGAAGGCGGCUUACUGGACAGUAACUGACGUUGAGGCUCGAAAGCGUGGGGAGCAAACAGGAUUAGAUACCCUGGUAGUCCACGCGGUAAACGAUGAAUGCUAGGUGUUGGGGAGCAAAGCUCUUCGGUGCCGUCGCAAACGCAAUAA
Molecule: ribosomal RNA, 861 nt
Filed under: uncultured Bacillota bacterium
Lineage: Bacteria; Bacillati; Bacillota
Description: bacterial SSU rRNA
Rfam family: Bacterial small subunit ribosomal RNA
Source: RNAcentral